ACCCUUUAAUGUUUGAUGUUCUAACGUGGACCCGUGAUCCGGGUUGCGGACAGUGUCUGGUGGGUAGUUUGACUGGGGCGGUCUCCUCCUAAAGAGUAACGGAGGAGCACGAAGGUUGGCUAAUCCUGGUCGGACAUCAGGAGGUUAGUGCAAUGGCAUAAGCCAGCUUGACUGCGAGCGUGACGGCGCGAGCAGGUGCGAAAGCAGGUCAUAGUGAUCCGGUGGUUCUGAAUGGAAGGGCCAUCGCUCAACGGAUAAAAGGUACUCCGGGGAUAACAGGCUGAUACCGCCCAAGAGUUCAUAUCGACGGCGGUGUUUGGCACCUCGAUGUCGGCUCAUCACAUCCUGGGGCUGAAGUAGGUCCCAAGGGUAUGGCUGUUCGCCAUUUAAAGUGGUACGCGAGCUGGGUUUAGAACGUCGUGAGACAGUUCGGUCCCUAUCUGCCGUGGGCGCUGGAGAACUGAGGGGGGCUGCUCCUAGUACGAGAGGACCGGAGUGGACGCAUCACUGGUGUUCGGGUUGUCAUGCCAAUGGCACUGCCCGGUAGCUAAAUGCGGAAGAGAUAAGUGCUGAAAGCAUCUAAGCACGAAACUUGCCCCGAGAUGAGUUCUCCCUGAGACUUAAAGUCUCCUGAAGGAACGUUGAAGACGACGACGUUGAUAGGCCGGGUGUGUAAGCGCAGC
Molecule: ribosomal RNA, 683 nt
Filed under: Salmonella enterica
Lineage: Bacteria; Pseudomonadati; Pseudomonadota; Gammaproteobacteria; Enterobacterales; Enterobacteriaceae
Description: partial 23S ribosomal RNA
Rfam family: Bacterial large subunit ribosomal RNA
Source: RNAcentral